This 1343-nucleotide ribosomal RNA is filed under the name uncultured bacterium. Its description in RNAcentral is "16S ribosomal RNA". It matches the Rfam family "Bacterial small subunit ribosomal RNA", at positions 28 to 1378 of the family's 1533-position model. The record is from RNAcentral.
GACGAACGCUGGCGGCGUGCUUAACACAUGCAAGUCGAACGGAAAGGCCCUGCUUUUGUGGGGUGCUCGAGUGGCGAACGGGUGAGUAACACGUGAGUAACCUGCCCUUGACUUUGGGAUAACUUCAGGAAACUGGGGCUAAUACCGGAUAGGAGCUCCUGCUGCAUGGUGGGGGUUGGAAAGUUUCGGCGGUUGGGGAUGGACUCGCGGCUUAUCAGCUUGUUGGUGGGGUAGUGGCUUACCAAGGCUUUGACGGGUAGCCGGCCUGAGAGGGUGACCGGCCACAUUGGGACUGAGAUACGGCCCAGACUCCUACGGGAGGCAGCAGUGGGGAAUAUUGCACAAUGGGCGGAAGCCUGAUGCAGCAACGCCGCGUGCGGGAUGACGGCCUUCGGGUUGUAAACCGCUUUCGCCUGUGACGAAGCGUGAGUGACGGUAAUGGGUAAAGAAGCACCGGCUAACUACGUGCCAGCAGCCGCGGUGAUACGUAGGAUGCGAGCGUUGUCCGGAUUUAUUGGGCGUAAAGGGCUCGUAGGUGGUUGAUCGCGUCGGAAGUGUAAUCUUGGGGCUUAACCCUGAGCGUGCUUUCGAUACGGGUUGACUUGAGGAAGGUAGGGGAGAAUGGAAUUCCUGGUGGAGCGGUGGAAUGCGCAGAUAUCAGGAGGAACACCAGUGGCGAAGGCGGUUCUCUGGGCCUUUCCUGACGCUGAGGAGCGAAAGCGUGGGGAGCGAACAGGCUUAGAUACCCUGGUAGUCCACGCUGUAAACGGUGGGUACUAGGUGUGGGGUCCAUUCCACGGGUUCCGUGCCGUAGCUAACGCUUUAAGUACCCCGCCUGGGGAGUACGGCCGCAAGGCUAAAACUCAAAGGAAUUGACGGGGCCCCGCACAAGCGGCGGAGCAUGCGGAUUAAUUCGAUGCAACGCGUAGAACCUUACCUGGGUUUGACAUGGAUCGGGAGCGCUCAGAGAUGGGUGUGCCUCUUUUGGGGUCGGUUCACAGGUGGUGCAUGGCUGUCGUCAGCUCGUGUCGUGAGAUGUUGGGUUAAGUCCCGCAACGAGCGCAACCCUUGUUCACUGUUGCCAGCACGUUAUGGUGGGGACUCAGUGGAGACCGCCGGGGUCAACUCGGAGGAAGGUGGGGAUGACGUCAAGUCAUCAUGCCCCUUAUGUCCAGGGCUUCACGCAUGCUACAAUGGCUGGUACAGAGAGUGGCGAGCCUGUGAGGGUGAGCGAAUCUCGGAAAGCCGGUCUCAGUUCGGAUUGGGGUCUGCAACUCGACCUCAUGAAGUCGGAGUCGCUAGUAAUCGCAGAUCAGCAACGCUGCGGUGAAUACGUUCCCGGG